CAAAGGAAUUGACGGGGCCCGCACAAGCGGUGGAGUAUGUGGUUUAAUUCGAUGCAACGCGAAGAACCUUACCUGGUCUUGACAUCCCGGAGACCCUUAGGAAACUAGGGGGUGCUUCCAUCUGGAAGAAUCUGGAGACAGGUGCUGCAUGGCUGUGUCAGCUCGUGUCGUGAGAUGUUGGGUUAAGUCCCGCAACGAGCGCAACCCUUGCCUUUAGUUGCCAGCAGUUCGGCUGGGCACUCUAAAGGGACUGCCGGUGUUAAACCGGAGGAAGGUGGGGAUGACGUCAAGUCCUCAUGGCCUUUAUGACCAGGGCUACACACGUACUACAAUGGCCGAUACAAAGGGCAGCGACACUGCGAGGUGAAGCCAAUCCCGUAAAAUCGGUCUCAGUCCGGAUUGGAGUCUGCAACUCGACUCCAUGAAGUUGGAAUCGCUAGUAAUCGUGGAUCAGCACUGCCACGGUGAAUAACGUUCCCGGGCCUU
Molecule: ribosomal RNA, 486 nt
Filed under: uncultured Desulfobulbus sp.
Lineage: Bacteria; Pseudomonadati; Thermodesulfobacteriota; Desulfobulbia; Desulfobulbales; Desulfobulbaceae
Description: bacterial SSU rRNA
Rfam family: Bacterial small subunit ribosomal RNA
Source: RNAcentral